This is a long non-coding RNA of Carassius carassius (crucian carp), 1040 nucleotides long. RefSeq lists it as uncharacterized. NCBI's taxonomy places the organism in Eukaryota, Metazoa, Chordata, Actinopteri, Cypriniformes, Cyprinidae. The transcript is spliced from 3 exons. The record is from RefSeq and is a predicted model, not a curated record.
UGUGUGUGUGUGUGUGUAAAAUAAAUUUCUUUUAAAUGUAUAGCACAGUAAUGAAGGCAGCAACAUGUGGUAGAUGGUAGUACUUAAUAAUCUUUCAUUGUGCUAAUGUAUUAUAAUACAAAAGGGUAUGGCUCUUAUACAGUGCGCAGUGCUUAUACACAACCAGUGCGCAGAAUGAUGCACUUGAAGCAACACAGAGUCACAGCGUGUAGCAUUACUCAUAGAAAUGUUCAAAAUGCCAAGGGAAGAGAUAUUGAUGUUGUGUAUUAUAUGUGUGCAAUAUUUUGAGCCUUUUCUUUUAACAGUUUUAAAUCUUAGUUAUUGUGCGCUCUUGAAGAGAGUUUCAUUGUUUUGACUGUAGUAACUAGGGCUGGGAUGAUACGCUAAUCUGCCAAUUCAAUACUAUCCCGAUACUUGUGUGCCGAUUCAAUGUUUAUUUAUAAUUAUAUAUAUAAUUGAGUAUUGUGAUUAUAGUUAUAUAACUAUUGCAAUUCGUGACUUAUCCAAAUUGUCUAUAAAAUUAUUUGUUUGUUUCUGUAGAUUUGAGGGAAAGAUUAUAAACGAGGAGGUCUGGGAAUGACUGAAGGGAACUGACAGCAGUGAGGGAAGGAAAUAAUCACCAGAAUGUAAAAGGAUGUUGACAGUGCAGGCCCAGGAUGAAGAAGAGGAGGAAGAACACAUUUAACAAUUUUCUCAUAAACUUUCCAUGUGUUAUAAUAAAAACAAUGAACAUGACUACAAUAAUAUGCUAAAUGUUAUUAAAAGAUUCCAGUUUGCAAGAAAUCUGAGUGUCUGACUCUACACUAGAGGAACUCUUUUCUGAAGAACAUCAGGUGCUGAGAAGAAGCAUUGUUAUUACAGCAAAACACUGCAUCAAGCCUCCUGUCCUUCCCUCAGAAGAGCCUGUUUUCUGCUGCUAGGGUAAGAAACACACUCUUCCUCUUCUCUAUCGGCUGUCCAGCACCUAACUCUGCCUCCUCAGCACUGUCUGAAAGAGUCUUCUCCACAGUCUGUAAUCAGAGAUCACAGAUUCUUCUGAG